AACGAACGCUGGCGGCAUGCCUAACACAUGCAAGUCGAACGAGACCUUCGGGUCUAGUGGCGCACGGGUGCGUAACGCGUGGGAACCUGCCCUUAGGUUCGGAAUAACUCCCCGAAAGGGGUGCUAAUACCGGAUAAUGUCUUCGGACCAAAGAUUUAUCGCCUUUGGAUGGGCCCGCGUUGGAUUAGCUAGUUGGUAGGGUAAAAGCCUACCAAGGCGACGAUACAUAGCUGGUCUGAGAGGAUGAUCAGCCACACUGGGGCUGAGACACGGCCCAGACUCCUACGGGAGGCAGCCGUGGGGAAUAUUGGACUAUGGGCGAAAGCCUGAUCCAGCAAUGCCGCGUGAGUGAUGAAGGCCUUAGGGUUGUAAAGCUCUUUUACCCGGGAUGAUAAUGACAGUACCGGGAGAAUAAGCUCCGGCUAACUCCGUG
RNAcentral lists this ribosomal RNA (433 nucleotides) under uncultured bacterium. RNAcentral's name for it is "partial 16S ribosomal RNA". It matches the Rfam family "Bacterial small subunit ribosomal RNA", at positions 29 to 507 of the family's 1533-position model. The record is from RNAcentral.